This 108-nucleotide non-coding RNA is filed under the name marine actinobacterium K362. RNAcentral describes it as "Marine actinobacterium SAM-I-IV sequence". It matches the Rfam family "SAM-I/IV (S-adenosyl methionine) riboswitch aptamer". Rfam says of the family: It is found upstream of a number of genes which code for proteins involved in methionine or cysteine biosynthesis. It has been found mostly in the order Actinomycetales. Lineage: Bacteria; Bacillati; Actinomycetota; Actinomycetes. The record is from RNAcentral.
AAACAACAUUAAGAGCGGCGCUUUUGCGCCCGGCAACCUGGGAGGACACCCAAGGUGCCUACUUGCUUAGCAAGGAUGCGGUUCCUAGGAACAACAAAGUGUCCGAGU